UGGGGAAUCUUCCGCAAUGGGCGAAAGCCUGACGGAGCAACGCCGCGUGAAUGAAGAAGGCCUUCGGGUCGUAAAGUUCUGUCUUUAGAGAAGAAGUCUCUUUAUGUAAAUAAUGUAGAGAGGUGACGGUACCUAAGGAGGAAGCUCCGGCUAACUACGUGCCAGCAGCCGCGGUAAUACGUAGGGAGCAAGCGUUGUCCGGAAUUACUGGGCGUAAAGGGCGCGUAGGCGGAUAAUUAAGUCAGGUGUGAAAACUCUGGGCUCAACCUGGAGAUUGCACUUGAAACUGGUUAUCUUGAGGGCAGGAGAGGAAAGUGGAAUUCCUAGUGUAGCGGUGAAAUGCGUAGAUAUUAGGAGGAACACCAGUGGCGAAGGCGACUUUCUGGACUGUACCUGACGCUGAGGCGCGAAAGCGUGGGGAGCGAACGGG
Molecule: ribosomal RNA, 430 nt
Filed under: uncultured bacterium
Lineage: Bacteria
Description: bacterial SSU rRNA
Rfam family: Bacterial small subunit ribosomal RNA
Source: RNAcentral